ACGCUGGCGGCAGGCCUAACACAUGCAAGUCGAGCGGUAGAGAGAAGCUUGCUUCUCUUGAGAGCGGCGGACGGGUGAGUAAUGCCUAGGAAUCUGCCUGGUAGUGGGGGAUAACGUUCGGAAACGGACGCUAAUACCGCAUACGUCCUACGGGAGAAAGCAGGGGACCUUCGGGCCUUGCGCUAUCAGAUGAGCCUAGGUCGGAUUAGCUAGUUGGUGAGGUAAUGGCUCACCAAGGCGACGAUCCGUAACUGGUCUGAGAGGAUGAUCAGUCACACUGGAACUGAGACACGGUCCAGACUCCUACGGGAGGCAGCAGUGGGGAAUAUUGGACAAUGGGCGAAAGCCUGAUCCAGCCAUGCCGCGUGUGUGAAGAAGGUCUUCGGAUUGUAAAGCACUUUAAGUUGGGAGGAAGGGUUGUAGAUUAAUACUCUGCAAUUUUGACGUUACCGACAGAAUAAGCACCGGCUAACUCUGUGCCAGCAGCCGCGGUAAUACAGAGGGUGCAAGCGUUAAUCGGAAUUACUGGGCGUAAAGCGCGCGUAGGUGGUUUGUUAAGUUGGAUGUGAAAUCCCCGGGCUCAACCUGGGAACUCCAUUCAAAACUGACUGACUAGAGUAUGGUAGAGGGUGGUGGAAUUUCCUGUGUACCGGUGAAAUGCGUAGAUAUAGGAAGGAACACCAGUGGCGAAGGCGACCACCUGGACUAAUACUGACACUGAGGUGCGAAAGCGUGGGGAGCAAACAGGAUUA
RNAcentral lists this ribosomal RNA (752 nucleotides) under uncultured bacterium. RNAcentral describes it as "bacterial SSU rRNA". It matches the Rfam family "Bacterial small subunit ribosomal RNA", at positions 33 to 780 of the family's 1533-position model. The record is from RNAcentral.